AUGGCAGCGAAGCUAAUCCCGAUCGCCGUCGUUGGGUCAAGUAAGAGCGCGCCACCACCUCAAGAGGCCGGCAGCCCAUGGCCGGACCUCCCGCCAGAGUUGCUGCGGCUGGUGGUCCUGCGCGUGCCAUCCCACGCCGACCGCGUCCGCCUCCGCGCGGUGUGCCGGCCGUGGCGCUCCGCGGCGAGCGACCUGCCCCCGCUGCUGCCAUGGCUCGCCCUCCGCGACGGCACCUUCCUCAGCCUCCCCGAUGGCGUUGUCCACCGCCUGCCCGCCAUCCCACCCAAUGUAGCCAGCCGUCUCCACCGGCGGCAUGCUCUUCCUGGUGCACGACGACGGCGACUGCUCCCUCAUGAACCCUCUCACCGGGUUCAGAUGACAAGAUUGAGUCGCCUCUACCUCGUCCGGUACAACAUCCGCAAGAUUGUGGUUUCGGACAACAUGUUCGUCGUUUCAAGCGGCAACUACUCCCGAUUGCACAUCUUUGCCCGCGGGCCGCGGCCGCAAGCAGGCUCCAUUAAGCUGCGUCCGGUGAUUGCCGAUGACAUGGCACUCUUCAAAGGCAAGCUCUACAUGCUCACCGGUUGGACUUCGCCGGAUGCGCACUGCAUCAUUCGUCAUCGGGAGCUCCAUGUCCUGGACUUGCGGUCGGGCCUGCAGCACCACCAGCACCAACCAUCCGUCCAAUGCUGUAUACCAGGCACCACAACAGAUUGCUUCUCAGACGGGGUCUACAAGCGCUAUUACUACCUGGUCGUGUCCGGUGACCGGCUGCUCAUGGUUGAACGGGAGAUCGAAGUGGACCGCGCCUCUAAUAAACGAAUCCGGACUCGGUGGCUCAAGGUCUUUGAGGCAAUGGACCUGGACUCGGACUGCGGCCAUGGACGUUGGAGGAAGGUUGAUAGGUUGAAGGGGCAUGCUCUUUUUGUCAGCCUAGAAUGCUCUUUCGCGCUCCCAGCUUCUGUUGAUGGCUGCGCGGUUGGAGUUGGAGCUCAGGAAGACUGCGUCUACUUUGUAAGAGAGAUUAAGCUCAGCACUCACCCUGCAUGGGAGGUAAAGGCCGAGGACGAUCAUCUCUGUUGCGGCGUGUACAAUAUCAUAGACCAGACCGUGGCGCCAUUACCCACAGAGAUGCUGGCCAAGACAGCGGUAUCACAUGCCGGUCCAUGGUCCUUGACCUGGUUCCCUUUGCCCCCAAACUGA
RNAcentral lists this ribosomal RNA (1203 nucleotides) under Triticum aestivum (bread wheat). Its description in RNAcentral is "partial small subunit ribosomal RNA". The record is from RNAcentral. Lineage: Eukaryota; Viridiplantae; Streptophyta; Magnoliopsida; Poales; Poaceae.